Molecule: ribosomal RNA, 377 nt
Filed under: uncultured bacterium
Lineage: Bacteria
Description: bacterial SSU rRNA
Rfam family: Bacterial small subunit ribosomal RNA
Source: RNAcentral
GACGAACGCUGGCGGCGUGCCUAACACAUGCAAGUCGAACGGGGUCAGCCCUUCGGGACUGACUUAGUGGCGAACGGGUGAGUAACGCGUGAGUAACCUGCCUUACAGAGGGGGACAACAGUUGGAAACGACUGCUAAUACCGCAUAACGUGCUUCUGGGACAUCCCUAGAGCACCAAAGGAGCAAUCCGCUGUAAGAUGGGCUCGCGUCCGAUUAGAUAGUUGGUGAGGUAACGGCUCACCAAGUCGACGAUCGGUAGCCGGACUGAGAGGUUGAACGGCCACAUUGGGACUGAGAUACGGCCCAGACUCUACGGAGGCAGCAGUGGGGAAUAUUGGGCAAUGGGGGAAACCCUGACCCAGCAACGCCGCGUGGAG